This 253-nucleotide ribosomal RNA is filed under the name uncultured bacterium. RNAcentral's name for it is "partial 16S ribosomal RNA". It matches the Rfam family "Bacterial small subunit ribosomal RNA", at positions 524 to 776 of the family's 1533-position model. The record is from RNAcentral.
UACGUAGGGUGCAAGCGUUGUCCGGAAUUAUUGGGCGUAAAGAGCUCGUAGGCGGUUUGUCGCGUCGAAUGUGAAAACCCGGGGCUCAACCCCGGGCCUGCAUUCGAUACGGGCAGACUAGAGUUCGGUAGGGGAGUCUGGAAUUCCUGGUGUAGCAGUGAAAUGCGCAGAUAUCAGGAGGAACACCGGUGGCGAAGGCGGGACUCUGGGCCGAUACUGACGCUGAGGAGCGAAAGCGUGGGGAGCAAACAGG